Molecule: ribosomal RNA, 496 nt
Filed under: uncultured bacterium
Lineage: Bacteria
Description: bacterial SSU rRNA
Rfam family: Bacterial small subunit ribosomal RNA
Source: RNAcentral
GAUGAACGCUAGCUACAGGCUUAACACAUGCAAGUCGAGGGGCAGCACAGUGUAGCAAUACAUGGGUGGCGACCGGCGCACGGGUGCGUAACGCGUAUCCAACCUUCCCGUUACUCUUGGAUAGCCUUCCGAAAGGGAGAUUAAUACAAGAUGGUAUUCAAAUUCCGCAUGUUAUUUGAAUUAAAGAUUAAUCGGUAACGGAUGGGGAUGCGUGACAUUAGAUAGUAGGCGGGGUAACGGCCCACCUAGUCUACGAUGUCUAGGGGUUCUGAGAGGAAGGUCCCCCACACUGGAACUGAGACACGGUCCAAACUCCUACGGGAGGCAGCAGUGAGGAAUAUUGGUCAAUGGUCGGAAGACUGAACCAGCCAAGUAGCGUGAAGGAUGAAGGUUCUAUGGAUUGUAAACUUCUUUUAUACGGGAAUAAAACACCUUACGUGUAGGGUCUUGUAUGUACCGUAUGAAUAAGCAUCGGCUAACUCCGUGCCAGCAGCCG